RNAcentral lists this long non-coding RNA (1542 nucleotides) under Gouania willdenowi (blunt-snouted clingfish). Its description in RNAcentral is "lncRNA (ENSGWIG00000020827.1)". Lineage: Eukaryota; Metazoa; Chordata; Actinopteri; Blenniiformes; Gobiesocidae. The record is from RNAcentral.
CAUUUAAAAAUAUUCUUAAAAUCUCAUUUUAAAGUUUUAUCUGUGUUUUCAUGAUGAUAGUUGUAAUACUUUAUUUACCUUGAUUGUCAGGAAGAGUUGGCUCCAAUGGAUAACUGGCCCCGUCAGGAGGAUCAAGUGGAUGAACUUGAGUCCCAUUAUAAUGAUGAGGAGGAGGAGCAUAUGCUGGAGUCACAUUAUAAUGAUGAGGAGGAGGAGCAUAUGCUGGAGUCCCAUAAUUAUGAUGAGGAGGAGGAGCAUAUGCUAGAGUCCCAUAAUGAUGAGGAGGAGGAGCAUAUGCUAGAGUCCCAUCAGGAUGAGGAGGAGCAUAUGCUAGAGUCCCAUAUAAAGGAUGAGAUGCAUGAAGUGGAGUGUAGCAAAGAGGACAAACUACAGGAUCCAAACCAGCAACCCUGUAGAGUAAGAAAAGACUGAGCUUUGUGCAGCUAACAUUUUACCAUGGUGCCAUUGAACAGCUGAGAGCUACCUGGGUACAGCCAUGUCUCCCAGCCCCUGUGAGAGGUUCCUGUGGGACGUUUCACUGGAAUGGUCCAACAAGGCCUCAUCUCUAGGUGCACCAGUUUCCAACCCAGAACACUUCAUCAGUGGUUCUUUGAAGUCCUCCUGUGAGCUUCUUGAAGGAUUCUUUUGAGUUUCCUGUUCAGGAAGCUAGAGCAUUAAGCAUCACACAGAAGAGACAAACAAUGGUGUUUCUAUCCAUAUAUAUAUAUAAUUCUAUUUUAUAUAUUACUUCCUAUUUUAUUUAUUACUUCCUACUGCUAUUUUCUACCUUUUUAUGUAGAUCUUUUUUUGUAGCUCCAGUGACACCAACCGUCCCCUCAAGUGUUUUCUCUCUAUCAAACAAGGGCAGAUACACGUAUUCAAUCCUUCUUUACUUUUCCCUCAGUGUUCAAUUCACUUAAAAAAAAAAAAAAAACUUACCUGACUUUGUUUCUCUUAUUAUCAUUGAUUUGCUUCAACAAUUCCGCUUUGUAUUUUUCUUUUUUCGUCGCAGCUAUCAAUUUAUUCUCUUCCUCUGACACUCCUGCAAAAACACCAGUGAUGUUCCUGACUAGGGUGAAGCCAGGAUAUUUACUCGUAUUUGAAAUGUGUUUACCAAUCAUGAGUCCAGUAGCCAGCGGUUGAAGUUUGUUCUUCUUUCUUUCAUAGUCUGUUCCCAGCUUGGAUCCUGAACCUAAACCUGUAGAGUGCAAAACACAAACAGGCAGCUUGUAGCAAAAAGUAAACCCCGUGUUUACUAUCAGAUGAUGAGAUUAUACAUUACCUCUGUCAGCUGAAAAAUGCAGCAUUUUUUCGUCACUCACACCAGCUCCAAACUGUGAAAAGUAUUUAGAUUAAAAUUGGUUCUGUGUAUUUUGGAAUUGUGCUCAUUGGGUAAGGCAAUAAUAAGAAAUAUACUUCAGCCUUAACCCUUUCAGUCAUUAUGUAUAGAUUUAUUUAUUUUUUGCUGUGUAAAGCCUUGUUUUAUGGAAUGAAAAAAAAAAAUUAAAUAAAUAAAUAAAUGAAUUGAAAGAAAUAAAUAAA